This 387-nucleotide ribosomal RNA is filed under the name uncultured bacterium. Its description in RNAcentral is "bacterial SSU rRNA". It matches the Rfam family "Bacterial small subunit ribosomal RNA", at positions 790 to 1167 of the family's 1533-position model. The record is from RNAcentral.
GUAGUCCUAGCCGUAAACGGUGCUUGCUUGCUGUAAAAGGAAUCGACCCCUUUUGUGGCGAAGCCAACGCGAUAAGCAAGCCGCCUGGGAAGUACGGUCGCAAGAUUAAAACUCAAAGAAAUUGACGGGGGCCUGCACAAGCGGUGGAGUAUGUGGCUUAAUUCGAUGCAACGCGAAGAACCUUACCUGGCCUUGACAUGCACGUAGUAGGAGGAUGAAAGUCUAACGAGGUAGCAAUACCAGCGUGCACAGGUGCUGCAUGGCUGUCGUCAGCUCGUGUCGUGAGAUGUUGGGUUAAGUCCCGCAACGAGCGCAACCCUUAUGUCCUGUUGCCAAUCCAACGAGAGUUGGGAGCACUCUGGACAGACUGCCUCGCUUAAACGAGGA